GACGAACGCUGGCGGCGGGCUUAACACAUGCAAGUCGAACGGAAAGGCCCUGCUUUUGUGUGGUGCUCGAGUGGCGAACGGGUGAGUAACACGGGAGUAACCUGCCCUUGACUUUGGGAUAACUUCAGGAAACUGGUGCUAAUACCGGAUAGGAGCUCCUGCUGCAUGGUGGGGGUUGGAAAGUUUCGGCGGUUGGGGAUGGACUCGCGGCUUAUCAGCUUGUUGGUGGGGUAGUGGCUUACCAAGGCUUUGACGGGUAGCCGGCCUGAGAGGGUGACCGGCCACAUUGGGACUGAGAUACGGCCCAGACUCCUACGGGAGGCAGCAGUGGGGAAUAUUGCACAAUGGGCGGAAGCCUGAUGCAGCAACGCCGCGUGCGGGAUGACGGCCUUCGGGUUGUAAACCGCUUUCGCCUGUGACGAAGCGUGAGUGACGGUAAUGGGUAAAGAAGCACCGGCUAACUACGUG
Molecule: ribosomal RNA, 468 nt
Filed under: uncultured bacterium
Lineage: Bacteria
Description: partial 16S ribosomal RNA
Rfam family: Bacterial small subunit ribosomal RNA
Source: RNAcentral